UGUGAAUGAAUGGAAUGCUUACUAA
This 25-nucleotide non-coding RNA is filed under the name Rattus norvegicus (Norway rat). The record is from RNAcentral. Lineage: Eukaryota; Metazoa; Chordata; Mammalia; Rodentia; Muridae.